UGGGGAAUAUUGCACAAUGGGCGCAAGCCUGAUGCAGCCAUGCCGCGUGUAUGAAGAAGGCCUUCGGGUUGUAAGUACUUUCAGCGGGGGGGAAGGGAGUAAAGUUAAUACCUUUGCUCAUUGAUGUUACCCGCAGAAAAAGCACCGGCUAACCCCGUGCCAGCAGCCGCGGUAAUACGGAGGGUGCAAGCGUUAAUCGGAAUUACUGGGCGUAAAGCGCACGCAGGCGGUUUGUUAAGUCAGAUGUGAAAUCCUCGGGCUCAACCUGGGAACUGCAUCUGAUACUGGCAAGCUUGAGUCUCGUAGAGGGGGGUAGAAUUCCAGGUGUAGCGGUGAAAUGCGUAGAGAUCUGGAGGAAUACCGGUGGCGAAGGCGGCCCCCUGGACGAAGACUGACGCUCAGGUGCGAAAGCGUGGGGAGCAAACAGG
Molecule: ribosomal RNA, 428 nt
Filed under: Chloroflexota bacterium
Lineage: Bacteria; Bacillati; Chloroflexota
Description: Chloroflexi bacterium partial 16S ribosomal RNA
Rfam family: Bacterial small subunit ribosomal RNA
Source: RNAcentral